RNAcentral lists this ribosomal RNA (253 nucleotides) under uncultured bacterium. RNAcentral's name for it is "partial 16S ribosomal RNA". It matches the Rfam family "Bacterial small subunit ribosomal RNA", at positions 524 to 776 of the family's 1533-position model. The record is from RNAcentral.
UACGAAGGGGGCUAGCGUUGUUCGGAAUCACUGGGCGUAAAGCGCACGUAGGCGGAUUCUUAAGUCAGGGGUGAAAUCCCGAGGCUCAACCUCGGAACUGCCUUUGAUACUGCAAAUCUCGAGUCCGGAAGAGGUGAGUGGAAUUCCUAGUGUAGAGGUGAAAUUCGUAGAUAUUAGGAAGAACACCAGUGGCGAAGGCGGCUCACUGGUCCGGUACUGACGCUGAGGUGCGAAAGCGUGGGGAGCAAACAGG